AGUGAACGCUGGCGGUAGGCCUAACACAUGCAAGUCGAACGGCAGCACAGUAAGAGCUUGCUCUUACGGGUGGCGAGUGGCGGACGGGUGAGGAACACAUCGGAAUCUACUUUUUCGUGGGGGAUAACGUAGGGAAACUUACGCUAAUACCGCAUACGACCUACGGGUGAAAGCAGGGGAUCUUCGGACCUUGCGCGAUUGAAUGAGCCGAUGUCGGAUUAGCUAGUUGGCGGGGUAAAGGCCCACCAAGGCGACGAUCCGUAGCUGGUCUGAGAGGAUGAUCAGCCACACUGGAACUGAGACACGGUCCAGACUCCUACGGGAGGCAGCAGUGGGGAAUAUUGGACAAUGGGCGCAAGCCUGAUCCAGCCAUACCGCGUGGGUGAAGAAGGCCUUCGGGUUGUAAAGCCCUUUUGUUGGGAAAGAAAAGCAGCAGGUUAAUACCCCGCUGUUCUGACGGUACCCAAAGAAUAAGCACCGGCUAACUUCGUA
RNAcentral lists this ribosomal RNA (492 nucleotides) under uncultured bacterium. RNAcentral's name for it is "partial 16S ribosomal RNA". It matches the Rfam family "Bacterial small subunit ribosomal RNA", at positions 29 to 507 of the family's 1533-position model. The record is from RNAcentral.